AUGGCUAGUAAUUGGAGUUUCAAACAAUUUGGGGAGGUAAUUUGUAGCCAAUAUCCUUGGGGUUUGCUUGAUGAAGUGGUAUACAAAUACUAUGAUGGGGAAAAGAAAUGGGUGACAGUUAGUAAUGAUGAAGAGCUAGCUACCAUGUUUGUUAGGCAUAAAGAGAAAGAUAAUUUUCAUGUGAGGCUGCAAGUUGAUGUGCUUGAGCAGGCAUUUGGACCUAGGAUGAGGGUGCAACAUCUUGGGGAGAACCAAGUCGUUGUAAUGGCAUCUCUAGCCAGAACAGUUCAGUUGGUGCACGGCGACGUGGUGGCUCGACAAGUGUGGGCAACAGCAGUAGGGUCCCCCUUGAAGUGGAGCCUGAUGACUACAAUUCUGGGGUUGAUGAAGAGAAGUUAUAUUCUGAUGUUAUUCGGAAUUUACGAUGGGCACCUCGGGCUGAUAACCAAGAUGAGGCUCACAAUGCAGUCUGUGUGGAUGAUGACGUGGUGGGUGAGGACGAAGACCUUGCAGCUGUUGAAUGGGACCCUUUGA
This 534-nucleotide ribosomal RNA is filed under the name Triticum aestivum (bread wheat). RNAcentral's name for it is "partial small subunit ribosomal RNA". The record is from RNAcentral. Lineage: Eukaryota; Viridiplantae; Streptophyta; Magnoliopsida; Poales; Poaceae.